AACGAACGCUGGCGGCUUGCCUAACACAUGCAAGUCGAACGAGAUCUUCGGGUCUAGUGGCGCACGGGUGCGUAACGCGUGGGAAUCUGCCCUUUGGUUCGGAAUAACAGUUGGAAACGACUGCUAAUACCGGAUGAUGACGAAAGUCCAAAGAUUUAUCGCCAGGGGAUGAGCCCGCGUAGGAUUAGCUAGUUGGUGUGGUAAAGGCGCACCAAGGCGACGAUCCUUAGCUGGUCUGAGAGGAUGAUCAGCCACACUGGGACUGAGACACGGCCCAGACUCCUACGGGAGGCAGCAGUGGGGAAUAUUGGACAAUGGGCGAAAGCCUGAUCCAGCAAUGCCGCGUGAGUGAUGAAGGCCUUAGGGUUGUAAAGCUCUUUUACCCGGGAUGAUAAUGACAGUACCGGGAGAAUAAGCUCCGGCUAACUCCGUGCCAGCCGCCGCAGUAA
Molecule: ribosomal RNA, 449 nt
Filed under: uncultured bacterium
Lineage: Bacteria
Description: partial 16S ribosomal RNA
Rfam family: Bacterial small subunit ribosomal RNA
Source: RNAcentral